This 1002-nucleotide small RNA is filed under the name Arabidopsis thaliana (thale cress). RNAcentral's name for it is "ATSL110110". Lineage: Eukaryota; Viridiplantae; Streptophyta; Magnoliopsida; Brassicales; Brassicaceae. The record is from RNAcentral.
UAUCAUCAGUAGAAAAAAUGCAAGAACCAAUAAGCUCCCUAAAUGAUUCUUUAAUUUGUGUGUAAAACUCUUAAACACUAACUAAAAAUACAGAAGGAAUAUUAUUUUGUUUGGGUAAUUAUUAUUAGCCAUUAGAUGAUCAUCCGCGCUACGCUGCGGUUUUUUCGAAUUUUUUCGUAUUGUUUAAUUUAAAUAUAAUUUUUAUUUAUCUAAUUACUUAUUCAUGCAAUAGAAAAUUUAUUUCUAAUGCCCUUUUCAUGAUGCCCUUUUUCAACUCUACCUUUUUUUUAGUCAUUUUUAUUUCUACUCUCUUUAAAUUUUUAAUGACCAUUUUACCCCUAUUUGAAAAUUGUAUUAGGUUAACAAAAUGAAAUAUUAAUAUUUUUCGCCUAAAUUAUUCCAAAAUAAAUUUCUCGCCAAAAAAAUUUCGGAAAAAAAUUCCCGCCAAAAAUUUUCAAAAAACAACACAUCUGCUAUAGGUUUUUUUGCGGGAAAAAAGUUUGGCGGAAAUUUUUUUUUUGCGUAAAAAUUUCAGUUUCCAAUUACAUGUUCCUAUUAGAUGAAGGUAAUUUGAUCAUUCUGUUCAAGAGAAGAGAUAUUUUUAAAAAUGGACAACACAAAAGGGUAUUGUUGCAAAAGGUAGUAAAAAAAGGGUAGUUUUGCAAAUUUCCCCAUGCAAUAAACAAUUAUUUUUAGUAUUAAAAAUAUUUUUUCUAAUAACAUUCUCAACAAUGCAUCAUACAGAUAAUUCAUAAACAACGUUUGUCUUAAACCAAUUUAACAAAGGGUAGUGUUGGAUUCUAGAAACCUAAGAAUUUGAUGAUGGAGCUCCUUACGUAUCUUUCCUUCUUAAUGAUUUAUUGUAUAAAUAUCAAUUUAAGAUAACAACUUACUCAAAUCAUUAAGUAAUCCACGACUAUUAUAUACUCAUACUUUGAGUUUGGAUUACCAAAAAAAAUCUUCCAGUAUGAGAAAACUAUUAAAAUGGUUUUAUUGAAAAAU